This is a long non-coding RNA of Lagopus leucura (white-tailed ptarmigan), 3901 nucleotides long. RefSeq lists it as uncharacterized. The record is from RefSeq and is a predicted model, not a curated record. The transcript is spliced from 3 exons. Lineage: Eukaryota; Metazoa; Chordata; Aves; Galliformes; Phasianidae.
CUUUGAACAAUUACAUUAUCUCUGCAGUAUAUUUUACUGUAAAUCACUGCCGUGUAGCCUUAACAUUGCCUCCAUCUUCAUUUUUCCUCCAGUUCUUUAACGUAGUUUCCCCGCUCUGUGAGGUUUUGGAGGAGACAGCAUUCCAUUCUGUGACUCUCACCUGGUGAGUGCCUUUCCAAAGGAAGGUAAGGAUGUGCUGUCUGAAAGAUGUCAUUAUUACUCUCAAAAAACAGAACAAAAAUGUAUCGUUUUAUCUUAUUUUCCCAGAGAAACAAAAUAGGACAAGGGCAGCAAUUAAUGAAAAAUAGGAUUGUAGUGCAGACCCAAAAUCUUAAUAUAAUGAUAAUUGCAUAUUAAUCCCAGCCUUUAGCCACGAGCUGCUAUUUUCCUUCAGUGUGCAGCUCUCUCUGAAAUCUUAGUGAUGUUAGUAAUGUACACAAAACUGAUAAUCUGCCUCUCUAGGCUUGUUUAAGACAAAAAGACAUAAUCACCAAACACCACAUCUCUCAGUGUACCCAUUUCUGUUGACUUACAAGCUAACACGUGUUCACUAAAGACGUGAACAUCUUCUAUAAUACAGCCUGCGUUCAGCCAACAGUGACACAGAACUGAAGAGUAGGAGGCACCCUUUGAUCAGAUAGUUUGAAUGCUUUCCUAUUAAAGCCAUUGCUCUUUACCUGCUUUAUUUGUUGCCAAGCCUGGUAGCUCAUGUGUGACAGCACUGGAUUCCUGGUAAGGCAUCGGGCCUUCAGGGGGAUGUUGGGGAGGAGAAUGCUGAGGUGGGGAGUUGCUUCAUUCAGCCCUUUGCUCAGCUGUAAAGACUCCUUUUCGUUACAAACCCAUACAACUUAUUUUCACUUCCACUGCAGGUAUUAUAGAGAGGACAAGGAGCAGUUUAGUCUGUUUCAUGAAGAGCUCUGCUCUGCUCUUAGUUCACUGUUGCCUUGACAGGGGAACUCUGACUGUGAUUCUAUGAAAAUGUCUGCGACUCUGAACUUUGUCUCCUCUGUCAGUCAUAUUUAUCUGAUGAGAAUUAGCAAAAGCAAAUCUAGAAUGAUGAAGAACCAGAGAGGAAAGGCAGAAAACAAGCAAUGGAGAGACAUACAUGUUGCAUGACUCUUCCCUGGUAGGAAAGAUCUUGCACACACACAGAAAAGAAAACCAAGUCUUCCACACAAUGGAUUGGUUUCCUUUAGAAAGCUUGCUCCAGGUUGAAUACUGGAAGGUAUGAAUACCACUCAACAUAGUAAAAGGAGGGAUGCCCUCUUAUAGAGCUCGUUACUGGGAUUUGCUCUGGAAAAAGUUUUGAGAGGGCAUGAAGGAGGCUGAGCCAGCAGCCACUCCCAGCACCAAGCACUGACCAAAAGAUGCCUCCAUGAAUCUUAAUUCCUCACCUGAAGGAGAAGGGUGAGAAAUCCUGUAUACCAGCCCUGCACAGCAUCAUGUGCUCUUCCGCCCUUCCAGCUCAAAUAGGGUGACCUACAAACACACCUAUCUUCCUCUUUUCAGUAAUUAAUCCAAGAGAAGUAACCAUCAAACUGACCAGCGAACUGCGCACGCUGCGAAGGUAAAUCCCUACUACUUGUUUUGAUUUCAUUAUUCCCUCUGUCUUUUCAAGUCGGUCACAUUGUGAUUUUGCUGUCGGGGAGCCUCGCUCCAUUUUGAGUUUUGUUCUGCUCAGGCUUUUCCAUUCAGACUGUCAUAACCUGCUUGUGCCACAACGCAUUAUUUCAUUUUAUCUGGAGGCAGCUGGACUGACAAUACUGUUUCGCCAUUUCGGGCAGUUUUCGGAGAUCUGCAGUGUCAAGAAAGAACAAUUUGUGUUAUUUUUUUUUAUUACGUCUAUUACUUCUUCAAAAGAAGAAGUAAUAUUAUCUAACAUGCAAAUGGCAAAUAGAAGCAUUCUUGAAAUUUAUACUUGGUGCAGAUUUUCAUGUCCUCUUCCUUCAAUCAUUACUAAAAUUGGAAGAUUAAAAACCUUUAUGGAGGAUGAAGACCUGGCUGAGACUGAAGAUAAUUCCUACUUCUGACUUUUUUCCUUGAGGAACACAUUUAUUAAAGGAAAAGAGUCAAUUUUUAAGUAGGAAAUGAACUGAUUUAGAAAUGUUAUGCAUAUGAAUUGCAUUUAGUUUUGUUACUGUUUAAGAUAUUAAAAGUUUUGAAGUACCCUUUUCAGUGCUCACAAGUGUGUAUACUCCUAAGUAAAUAGAUGAGAUUAGACUGCUCUUGAAAUAAACUGGCACGCUCCAGUCUCUGUCUUGAAGUACGACUCCUGUACAGUAUGCUACUGCAUGUCGUGCCCUCAGCUGAUCUUCAUAGAAAUGCCAACUGAAGCAUUGCUGAGCCUAUGGAAAUAGGAACAAGAGUUUCCAGUGCCAUUCCAUCAGUGUUUUAGCUGUUAGGAUAGGGCUUUUGUAUCUGCGAAUUGCAGUCGACAUGGAAGUGACUGAUGUUUUCUGUCCUACUCCAAUGAGCGUUUAAAAUAUUAAUGAUGCAUUCGGAUUAUGGAAAAAGUUCCUCCCAAGUGAUCUGGCCGCUCCUUUACUCAAAGGUCGCUUCUCCAUGUGGUUGCUUCUCUGUUAAUUGCAUACAGCAAGGCUACCAGCUAUAUGAGUUUGUGUACGGGGCCAAAAAGAAACUCACGUCUGUAGAAUGAAAGUAGGAUCUGCUAUGGAAAUCUCUAUGAAUGUGCAAGCGCUAACGGCAGAAGCCACAAUUAAUUCCCCUUUUAAUUAAAAUACUCAACAUUAUAAUAAAAAGAUUAUUUCCUCACUUACUCUGCAGUUUUAGAGUCCAAAUAAAGUAGCACAAUGCUUUUACGGUGAUGCAUGCAUUGCUCAUGGAGAAAUGCUCCAUCUACUCACAGCUUUGGGAGUUAGUAUCUUACUGGGAAAAAAAAAAGACUUGAAAGAUGUGAACCUGACUGCUUUCAACAGCUAAAUCAAAAACUGUUGGUUCUUCUUCACACUUUCCCUUGACCAUUCAGAACGUGAAAUGCCCUGUGCUAGAGUCAAAUGUGAUGUGCUGCCUGUGAGCACCUUGUCUUUCUAUAAUUCACACAAAGCAUGAAAUUUUAAAGUAGUAUUCAGAGCAUCUGUGCAAAAAUAAUGUAAAUACUGUUGUUCUUAUCCAAUCCAGAAGAGUUGGUCAAGGGCAAGAUGGGAGCCUAUCGUGUGCAGAUCAGCGCACAGCCACAGCGUUAGGAGAAUGGAAAUGCAAUUGUACUGCUCACCUUCUGGUUACAUGGCUUAAGCUACAAGGCAGUUUGUAACACGUGGGAUGGAGGACUUGCCUUCAUCUCAGAGAUCCCCAUCCUCAAACCUGCAUGUGUGUAGUUUAGAGCCAAGAACAGAGAGUAAAUUUCAAAAUUAAAAAGAAAAAUCAGGUUUUUUGUUUGUUUGUUUGUUUGUUUUGUUUUUUAAUAUCACUUUGGAUUUGUAGAGAGGUGGUUUCUACAAGGUUCCCUGGUGUUACUUAUAUUAAUAUUUUAUAGGCUGCUCGUGUAAACUCUAGAGCUUUCAUAGCUCUCAGUAUUAACUUUCAAAUAUAAAACAGUUGAUAUUGAUUUUUAUUGCUGUUUAAUUUAGUUUUUGUUUGUUUUUUUAACAUGGUUUCUCAGCUGUAAGGAAUGUGGCCUGCGCUCAUUUAAGACUUCUCCAAGACUUCUCCAGAUACACGAAACCCACUACUGUCAUCCUUUUUUCUUAUGUUUUAACACUCUGAGAGCUGAGCUGGCCUGUAUUUGUCAUGCAGAUUGAUUAUUCUACGCAGCAAAUCAGAUCACCUAUUAUGGAAGACUUGUACAACCAGUUAUCUUGAAUGACUGCAAACCUGUCUGCAAAAGAGUGUUAUGCGAUGUGAGUGAAUAUGAAUAGAAGGAUCUUCCAUGAUAAACUCAAGA